GGUGAGGAACCUUUAAGCCAGACAGGUGAGCCGGGGUGGUGAGGAACCUUUAAGCCAGACAGGUGAGCCGGGGUGGUGAGGAACCUUUAAGCCAGACAGGUGAGCCGGGGUGGUGAGGAACCUUUAAGCCAGACAGGUGAGCCGGGGUGGUGAGGAACCUUUAAGCCAGACAGGUGAGCCGGGGUGGUGAGGAACCUUUAAGCCAGACAGGUGAGCCGGGGUGGUGAGGAACCUUUAAGCCAGACAGGUGAGCCGAGGUGGUGAGGAGCCUUUAAGCCAGACAGGUGAGCCGAGGUGGUGAGGAACCUUUAAGCCAGACAGGUGAGCCGGGGUGGUGAGGAACCUUUAAACCAGACAGGUGAGCCGGGGUGGUGAGGAACCUUUAAGCCAGACAGGUGAGCCGGGGUGGUGAGGAGCCUUUAAGCCAGACAGGUGAGCCGGGGUGGUGAGGAACCUUUAAGCCAGACAGGUGAGCCGGGGUGGUGAGGAGCCUUUAAGCCAGACAGGUGAGCCGGGGUGGUGAGGAACCUUUAAGCCAGACAGGUGAGCCGGGGUGGUGAGGAACCUUUAAGCCAGACAGGUGAGCCGGGGUGGUGAGGAGAGGAGGAUGGUGUGCCGCUCCUCAUCCCCUCUCAAAAUAGAGAUGGCUAUUGAUACAGUGCCCCCCCAUAUUUCUACAGUGCUACUACAUACUCUAGUUCCCUUGACUCUCUUCUUGGCCUCCACACUCCCCCAGUCUCUGUUCUUCUAUCUGAAUGUGUCCUGUCUACCUAAUGCUCUACUGACUUAUCCAAGACUGUUCUAUCCCUACUUCUCUAAUCUUCCUAGCUAGCGCCUUGCUUUUUUCAUACAUAAAAUGAUGCCCGGUUGUUUUAAAAUCACUGAUUUAAUGAAUUGUCUGCAUCGGGACAUUUUCAACAAACAUUUAGUUGAUGUGGCGAAAGCUUCCCAUUCCAGUGAUAUUGAGUCGACUAGCAUUGGCCGUGGGAAGCCAUUUGAGUUACUCCUCACAUAGACUGAUGUGAUAUGGUAGCACGUUACAUGGAGUGACUAUAUUGUGUUAAACUUUUACUAUGGGUUUGCCAUAUCUUGUUGAUUUAUGAAGUUUUCCAGUGAUUUCUCAGUUUCCCGUUGUUAGACCUACUUCACCCUAAUUUGAAGUGGGAAAUGUGUGUUGAUUUGAUUUGGUGCGUCUGAACCCUAUCUUCUAUCACUUCCUUCCCUGCUUGGCUAAUCUCGUACGACUGUGAAUCUUGGUUUUAUAUAUUAUGUACAGUACAAUCUGUAUCAAAUUACUUAGAACUUUCCUGAUGAUUCAUGUUAAAGGGUUUUCUUUAGUGUGA
Long non-coding RNA from Oncorhynchus nerka (sockeye salmon), 1343 nucleotides. RefSeq lists it as uncharacterized. The transcript is spliced from 3 exons. NCBI's taxonomy places the organism in Eukaryota, Metazoa, Chordata, Actinopteri, Salmoniformes, Salmonidae. The record is from RefSeq and is a predicted model, not a curated record.